GACGAACGCUGGCGGCGUGCUUAACACAUGCAAGUCGAACGGAAAGGCCCUGCUUUUGUGGGGUGCUCGAGUGGCGAACGGGUGAGUAACACGUGAGUAACCUGCCCUUGACUUUGGGAUAACUUCAGGAAACUGGGGCUAAUACCGGAUAGGAGCUCCUGCUGCAUGGUGGGGUUGGAAAGUUUCGGCGGUUGGGGAUGGACUCGCGGCUUAUCAGCUUGUUGGUGGGGUAGUGGCCUACCAAGGCUUUGACGGGUAGCCGGCCUGAGAGGGUGACCGGCCACAUUGGGACUGAGAUACGGCCCAGACUCCUACGGGAGGCAGCAGUGGGGAAUAUUGCACAAUGGGCGGAAGCCUGAUGCAGCAACGCCGCGUGCGGGAUGACGGCCUUCGGGUUGUAAACCGCUUUCGCCUGUGACGAAGCGUGAGUGACGGUAAUGGGUAAAGAAGCACCGGCUAACUACGUG
This 467-nucleotide ribosomal RNA is filed under the name uncultured bacterium. Its description in RNAcentral is "partial 16S ribosomal RNA". It matches the Rfam family "Bacterial small subunit ribosomal RNA", at positions 28 to 507 of the family's 1533-position model. The record is from RNAcentral.